This 543-nucleotide ribosomal RNA is filed under the name uncultured Ascomycota. Its description in RNAcentral is "SSU rRNA". It matches the Rfam family "Eukaryotic small subunit ribosomal RNA", at positions 549 to 1098 of the family's 1831-position model. Lineage: Eukaryota; Fungi; Ascomycota. The record is from RNAcentral.
UGGAGGGCAAGUCUGGUGCCAGCAGCCGCGGUAAUUCCAGCUCCAAUAGCGUAUAUUAAAGUUGUUGUGGUUAAAAAGCUCGUAGUUGAACCUUGGGCCUGGCUGGCCGGUCCGCCUCACCGCGUGUACUGGUCCGGCCGGGCCUUUCCCUCUGUGGAACCCCAUGCCCUUCACUGGGUGUGGCGGGGAAACAGGACUUUUACUUUGAAAAAAUUAGAGUGCUCCAGGCAGGCCUAUGCUCGAAUACAUUAGCAUGGAAUAAUAGAAUAGGACGUGUGGUUCUAUUUUGUUGGUUUCUAGGACCGCCGUAAUGAUUAAUAGGGACAGUCGGGGGCAUCAGUAUUCAAUUGUCAGAGGUGAAAUUCUUGGAUUUAUUGAAGACUAACUACUGCGAAAGCAUUUGCCAAGGAUGUUUCCAUUAAUCAGGAACGAAAGUUAGGGGAUCGAAGACGAUCAGAUACCGUCGUAGUCUUAACCAUAAACUAUGCCGACUAGGGAUCGGACGAUGUUAUUUUUUGACUCGUUCGGCGCCUUACGGGAAAC